CCUACGGGUGGCAGCAGUGAGGAAUAUUGGUCAAUGGGCUGACGCCUGAACCAGCCAAGUCGCGUGAGGGAAGACUGCCCGAUGGGUUGUAAACCUCUUUUGUCAGGGAGCAACGCCGGCUACGUGUAGACGGACUGAGAGUACCUGAAGAAAAAGCAGCGGCUAACUCCGGGCCAGCAGCCGCGGUAAUACGGAGGAUGCGAGCGUAAGCCGGAUUGCUUGGGUUUAAAGGGUGCGUAGGCGGAAUGCCAAGUCAGCGGGAAAAUCGCGGGGCUCAACCUCGCUCCGCCGUUGAAACUGGCGUUCUUGAGUGGGCGAGAAGUAUGCGGAAUGCGUGGUGUCGCGG
This 346-nucleotide ribosomal RNA is filed under the name uncultured bacterium. RNAcentral describes it as "partial 16S ribosomal RNA". It matches the Rfam family "Bacterial small subunit ribosomal RNA", at positions 338 to 681 of the family's 1533-position model. The record is from RNAcentral.